Molecule: ribosomal RNA, 200 nt
Filed under: uncultured bacterium
Lineage: Bacteria
Description: partial 16S ribosomal RNA
Rfam family: Bacterial small subunit ribosomal RNA
Source: RNAcentral
AAUCAACGCUGGCGGCGUGCCUCUGACAUGCAAGUCGAACGAUUAAACUUUCCUUCGGGAAAGAUAUAAAGUGGCGCACGGGUGAGUAACACGUAAGUAAUCUACCUUCGAGUGGGGAAUAACGUUCGGAAACGAACGCUAAUACCGCAUAAUGCAGCGGCAUCGCAAGAUGACAGUUGUUAAAGGAUUUAUUCGCUUGA